CGGCAAUAGCUCAAAUUUGAAAGCUGGCCCCUUCGGGGUCCGCGUUGUAAUUUGUAGAGGAUGAUUCGGCGAGGGCUCCCGUCUAAGUCCCUUGGAACAGGGCGUCAUAGAGGGUGAGAAUCCCGUAUGUGAUGGGCUGCCUUAGCCAUGUGAAUCUCCUUCGACGAGUCGAGUUGUUUGGGAAUGCAGCUCUAAAUGGGAGGUAAAUUUCUUCUAAAGCUAAAUACCGGCCAGAGACCGAUAGCGCACAAGUAGAGUGAUCGAAAGAUGAAAAGCACUUUGGAAAGAGAGUUAAAAAGUACGUGAAAUUGUUGAAAGGGAAGCGCUUGCAGCCAGACUUGUCCGCAGUUGCUCAGCUUGUCUCCUGACAGGCGUACUCUUCUGCGGCCAGGCCAGCAUCAGUUCGGGCGGUCGGAUAAAGACCUAGGGAAUGUAGCUCCUCUCGGGGAGUGUUAUAGCCCUGGGUGCAAUGCGGCCAGCCUGGACUGAGGAUCUCGCUUCGGCUAGGAUGCUGGCGUAAUGGCUGUAAGCGGCCCGUCUUGAAACACGGACC
This 553-nucleotide ribosomal RNA is filed under the name Neofusicoccum kwambonambiense. RNAcentral describes it as "eukaryotic LSU rRNA". It matches the Rfam family "Eukaryotic large subunit ribosomal RNA", at positions 99 to 667 of the family's 3401-position model. Lineage: Eukaryota; Fungi; Ascomycota; Dothideomycetes; Botryosphaeriales; Botryosphaeriaceae. The record is from RNAcentral.